This 400-nucleotide long non-coding RNA is filed under the name Salmo salar (Atlantic salmon). RNAcentral describes it as "lncRNA (ENSSSAG00000089480.1)". Lineage: Eukaryota; Metazoa; Chordata; Actinopteri; Salmoniformes; Salmonidae. The record is from RNAcentral.
CAACACUGUGGAUAUCACAUCUCAUCUCAUUGGUCCGCUCAAAUUGGCAUUAGACCAAUCAGCUGUGACCUGAGUAAAGUUGUGCUGUGGCGGAGAUCUUCGUGGGCUGUACUCGACCUUGUCUCAGGAUGGACCUGAGCCGUAGGACCAUGCCUCAGGACUACCUGGCAUGAUGACUCCUUGCUGUCCCCAGUCCCCCUGGCCGUGCUGCUGCUCCAGUUUCAACUGUUCUGCCUGCGGCUAUGGAACCCUGUCCUGUUCACAGGACGUGCUACCUGUCCCAGACCUGCUGUUUUCAACUCUCUAGAGACAGCAGGAGCGGUAGAGAUACUCUCAAUGAUCGGCUAUGAAAAGCCAACUGACAUUUACUCCUGAGAUGCUGACCUGUUGCACCCUCUAC